CCUAACUACCUUUCCAGGAUGCCACUUGGUCAGCUACCGUUUGGAUAAAAGCAACGUUACUUUUAAAAGGAGUCUGCAAAGGGAAGGAGACAGACUUGCAAUUCAACAGAAAAGGGUGUGUCAGAAUGAAGAAUCGUCAUGUUCAACCUAAGGCAAGGUGGUGAGGGGCGAAGGAAUCCAAAGAUGGGGUAGAGAGUGGAUGUCUUCUCCAACAUACGAAGGCAAAGAAAAAGGUUUAUCCUUCCUAGCAGCAAAUGAAUAACAGGAAGAUCACAGAAAGCCAGAAUGUGCCUGAGCUGCCACAUCUAUAAUACGGACCAACAAGAUUUCUUCCUGCUGGGUGACCCGGCUGCAUCACCCAUCAAAGAGAAUUAGUCUCAAAGGAAUAGCUUGCUUAUGGAUUUAUAGACGUUGACAAUAAUCCUAAAUGGAUGCUAGAGGAAUUGACAAAUCUUAGCAUUCUUCCUCAGUGCCUGUGCACCUGGGGGAAACACUGGAGGUCUCAGCAUUUUUUAAAGAAGGGAGGAAGUCACUGACAGCUGAUACACAAACAGGUAAGGAAAGCCUAGGGAAGCAGGAGCCAUUUGCUGAUGCAAAAUUCUGCUGGAAACAUUCGAAAGGAGUGGCCUAGUCAUGGUAAUUGUAGACAGGGGAUAUAUGGUGGCAGCGAGUGGACUGGCUAGAUGGAAGAGGGAUUGUGUUUACAGGCUAUUCCCUCUUCCGGUCUACCACAUAGCCAUAGGGACCUGAUCUGAUCUGCCAAAUUACCAGUGGAUCUCAUAGUGCCAGGUCGCUCUGUAAUGAAAACUAGCAAAUGAGAAAGCUAGUCUGGGUCCUGUGGAUUUAUCUUCUGUCUUCCUGUUACUAAAUUAAGUUAAAUAUCUUUUAGCUUAAGUAUCUGAAGAAGUGUGCAUGCACACGAAAGCUCAUAUGAAUGACAAACUUAGUUGGUCUAUAAGGUGCUACUGGAAGGAAUUUUUUUAUUUUGUUUCGACUACGCCAGUCGAACAUGGCUACCUACCUGUAACUUAAAUACAGUGGUACCUCGACUUAUGAAGACGAUCUGUUCCGCGGCCGUCUUCGUAAGUCGAGGUUUUCGGUUCUCGAAGCACUGCUUCGGCGCAUGCCUUCGGUUGUUGAGGUAUGACUGUAUCUUUGUUACAGUUCAUAUUCAAUAGUGACUGAUAUGAGCUGCUUCAAAGCUCUUUGCAUUGAUAACUAUGGAGCGCUUGGGUGGAAGCACAUUGUUGUAAGGACAGAUGAUGCAGAGGAUUUCGCUACUCCAGAAAGCAGGUGAGGGAUUGCAAGUUUGAAUGCUGUCCCAUCUAAAGGAGCAACAACCUCUCCCUAGAGCCCCUCCAAAUGGAAAGCUGGUACCGUAGUACAUCAGAAAGAAAAGCUGAGGUAAAGCCCUACUCUCAACUUUCCAGGAAGUAGUUGUUGUUGUUUGGGGAAGCGUUGAGAUGUGUUGAUUCCCACCAGUAUCCUGAAAUGGCAUCAUCCCAAGAGAUCUUUGCAGUAUGCCUCUGGUUCGCCACUGAAACUUCCAUCAUACCUGGCCGUUGGCCAUGCUUGCUGGGGCUGAUGGGAAUGGCAGUCUAGUAAAAGCUGGAAGGCCAAAGGUUCUCCACGCUUGCUCUACAAUGUGCUUUUCGAAUCCUUGAACUGAAUGCCUCACAAAGGUUAUUGAUCUUAUUGUUAGAAAUAGGGAAAUUGACAAAGGCCAGAAGUAUUUCAUAGAACAAUCCAAGGUGGCUUGGGUUUUCAUUGCGGUCGUGGAAUAUC
Non-coding RNA from Zootoca vivipara (common lizard), 1785 nucleotides. The record is from RefSeq and is a predicted model, not a curated record. Lineage: Eukaryota; Metazoa; Chordata; Lepidosauria; Squamata; Lacertidae.